CACCGUAUAGGAAUAUGGGUGAUGAAAGUGGCGCACGGGUGCGUUACGCGUAUGCAACCUACCUUCAUCAGGGGGAUAGCCUCUCGAAAGAGAGAUUAACACCGCAUAACAUAGUUGAACGGCAUCGUUUUACUAUCAAAUAUUUAUAGGAUGAAGAUGGGCAUGCGUGACAUUAGUUAGUUGGUGAGGUAACGGCUCACCAAGACCACGAUGUCUAGGGGAUCUGAGAGGAUGACCCCCCACACUGGUACUGAGACACGGACCAGACUCCUACGGGAGGCAGCAGUAAGGAAUAUUGGUCAAUGGGGGCAACCCUGAACCAGCCAUGCCGCGUGCAGGAAGACGGUGCUCUGCAUUGUAAACUGCUUUUAUACCAGAAUAAUUUCCCGAUCGUGAUCGGGAUUGAAUGUAUGGUAAGAAUAAGGAUCGGCUAACUCCGUGCCAGCAGCCGCGGUAAUACGGAGGAUCCAAGCGUUAUCCGGAUUUAUUGGGUUUAAAGGGUGCGUAGGCGGCUUUUUAAGUCAG
RNAcentral lists this ribosomal RNA (525 nucleotides) under uncultured bacterium. RNAcentral's name for it is "bacterial SSU rRNA". It matches the Rfam family "Bacterial small subunit ribosomal RNA", at positions 70 to 591 of the family's 1533-position model. The record is from RNAcentral.